UUUGUGGUAAUCCACAUGGAUCUAUCCUAACAGUCCUCUGUAUUUAUUCUCCUGCAGAUUGAUCUGAGGAAAGAAUCAACAAUACAGUUCACUGCUCCAUCCUCAUAUCCUGUUAUUACAUUUGGUCCUUUCACUUCUCCUACUGCUGUUCUGGUUUCUCUUUCUCAUGCAGUUGGUAAUCUCCUAGACCAAGCUUUCUCUUCUUCAAGUGCUCCACGUCCUUGUCAAGUUUUUAUGAUGUCAAGAUGACUUCCUCUGUCCAUUUUGCUCUUUCAUGAUUUUCAUGUUGAACCAGGAAACAUAAUACAUAUAAUAUGUUCCUUUGUUUUUUGUGGUUUAAAGGGUAUCUAUUUUUCUAUUAACUCUUCCUUGAGUGAUGCAUGAGUUGAAUUCUGUGUUUCGUUGAGGUAUUUAGAUAUAGAUAUUUUGUUCUCAAAGCUUCUCUGCUAAUACAAUAAUAAGAGUAAUCCUAAUAAAAUAAAAGCAAUCCUUCUUUAAUCAAGCUUAAUGGACGGAGUGACUAAAAGUGUGUUUCGUAUCAUUUUAAAAAACAGUUCUCAAACCUACUUAUGAAAAUGACGGUUGAUGUUCUUCAAAUGAUGUUUACUUGAUCAAAGAAUGCUUUUGGUUGUGACUACUAUAAUUUUUUUGAAAAAAUAAAAUUGGGAGAAUGUAUUUGGUAUUCUUGAAAAUGAGAUUUUUAUAUUAUUGUUAAUGUUAUUAUUUAUCUUUUGGAGUUAAUUCAUUUUCAUAAUUCCCAAAUUCUAGCUAUAAUUUUGAAUAUUCAUUUUUUGUUGUACAAAUUGGUUUCUAGAAAAAACCACUCCUAGUAAAAUUAUACUUUUUGUUUUUGGAAACAUAAAAUCUAUUUGAGAAACAUAACCAAACUCCCAUUAAUAUACUUUCAUGACCUAUAAUGAUCUGUUAUGAGCUUGUUUCAUCGUUUGAGUCCCUGAAUUAUAACAUAACCUAGCUCCCAUUAAUAUAAUUUCAUGACCUAUAAUGACCUGUUAUGAGCUUUUUUCAUCGUUUGAGUCCGUGAAUUAUCAUUGAUGAAAUAGAUAGAGGCCUCCAGUUAAACAGAGCAAUGAUGGCAGAAAUGAAUAGUUCUGGAAUUUUGCAUACUUGUCCAUCUUCAUUUCUUCACAGGAGCUGCAUUGUAGCAGUUAUACUAGUGUUUCAAGAGCUUCUUAGGUCUUUUUAUUUUUUUUUAAUGUAUCAUCUUCACAAUUUUUUUUUUUUAAAUUUAUUCUUCUUUAAAGAAAAGAAAUUUCUAAUUGUAUUUACAUUUAUGGGUUUACAAAAGUGAAAAAGCUGUCCACAAGAACAAUAACAUUUGGCUUGGGCUACUUUGUAAUUGUUGAUUUUUCUUACUAGGGACCGUGUUUAUGCCACCAAAAUGGUCCUUAGGUUACCACCAAUGUCGCUGGAGCUAUGAUUCUGAUAAGAGAGUUCGUGAGGUUGGUUCUUUCUCUUUUUCCCUAUGAAUUUUUCUUCCUGAUUUGCUUCAUCUUUGGAAGAACAACAAAAUUCUGAAAAAUUGUUAUUCCUAAAGUUAUGAUCACCAUUGCACUUUCUACAUCUUCUAUUAUACAUUUUAUGUUGUGCUUUUCUGAUUAUUAACCCACUAUAUAUUCAGAUUUGCAGGACAUUUCGUGAGAAAGGUAUACCGUGUGAUGCUAUAUGGAUGGAUAUCGACUACAUGGAUGGAUUUCGUUGUUUCACUUUUGACAAGGCAUGUUCUUUCUUAAUGAUAUUUCUGGAUGAUAUGUCUAUUGCACCAUUAAUUUACUUAUAACUUAAAAUUAAAUCAACAUUCAUUAAAGCAGUAAAAAGCAAAUAUCAACCCAGAGAAGGAGUUUCGUUAUUUCGUUUAGACUUCCAAAAAUUGUUAAUUAGAGUAGUUGCUAGAACUUCAGUUUCAUUUCAAUGUGCUCGAGACGCAGUAAUAUGAACAAUAUCUGAAACUAAUUCCUCUCAUGAAGGUUAGUAUAUAAAGAUAAAAAAAAUGGUCCCUUUGUUGAUUUGCUGGCCUAGGAUCUGCUAGGACAAAAACUUGGUUAUGGACAACCUUUUUGAACUUCACAAUAGCCACACUAUGUAUUUUUGUUAGAAGGACACGUCUCCUGGCAAGGCAUUGCUAUUACAUAGCUGUAUAUUACCCAUUAUGUGAGAACACUAUAAUCAUUGACAUGGGGAGUGAAUUAUAAUGAUUUCUUUUAGGAGCGUUUCCCAGAUCCAAAAUCUUUGGCUGCGUGUCUCCACCUUAAUGGUUUCAAAGCAAUCUGGAUGCUUGAUCCAGGAAUUAAACAUGAGGAUGGGUACUUUGUGUAUGAUAGCGGCUCUAAAAUUGAUGUCUGGAUUCAGAAAGCAGAUGGGACGCCUUUUAUAGGUACUUCUCUUUAUUUGAUGAAGCUGAUUCUUUAAAUUAAUUUUUUGAGGUGUUAAAGUCACCAAUGUCCUUAUUUCAGGGGAGGUGUGGCCUGGGCCUUGUGUUUUCCCUGAUUAUACACAAUCAAAAGUUCGUUCCUGGUGGGCCUCUUUAGUUAAGGAUUUCAUUUAUAAUGGAGUUGAUGGUAUAUGGAAUGAUAUGAACGAGCCAGCUGUCUUUAAGGUUAUUCUUAUAUUUAUUCCUAUGCACAUGCAUUCUCUUUUAUUUGUAUGUGGUCUUACUGCUUUCUUUCUUUCAGUCUGUAACAAAGACAAUGCCUGAGAGCAACAUCCACAGAGGGGAUGAUGAAAUUGGAGGUUGUCAAAAUCACUCGUACUAUCACAACGUAUAAUUUUUCAACCCUAAUCUGGUGGCUUUCUUCUUACAUGUAAUCUCUUUUGCUAUUAGUUUGUACGUGCAUAGAUCUCUUUGGUUAUGCGAUUUUGCUCGCAAUGUAGUGCCAACCCAUGUGUAUGGUUUUUCCCAUGAUGGCCGUUAUUAACAUGGGUUGCCAAACUUAGGUUUAUGGCAUGCUAAUGGCAAGAUCGACAUAUGAAGGCAUGAAGUUAGCUGAUAAAGAUAAGCGUCCUUUUGUUCUCACCAGAGCUGGAUUUAUUGGUAGUCAAAGAUAUGCUGCCACAUGGACAGGAGAUAACGUUUCAAAUUGGGAGCACCUUCAUAUGAGUAUAUCCAUGGUACUUCAAUUGGUAAGUGUUCAGUUGUUCAUUUUUUCUGUUUUCACAAAGUACUAAUGAGCUAAACGUUUUAUGCCCUAAAUAAUUUAUGGCUUUUCCCCCUGCUAUAGGUGAUGCUUUUGUCUCUCUGAGCAAUCUUUACACUUUCUUUAUAAGGAAGACUUAAGUGCUGUAUGAAUGAUGUAUGUGGAUAAGAAGUUUAGUUUGUGGUCUCUUUCAAGAGUAUAAAUAGUUAUCUUUUGCUUUGUCUAAAACCUGAAAACUGUAGAACCAACCAUUAGGCAGCAUAUUAGAUCAAAGUUGUUUUGGCGUAAUCUUCUAAUUCAUCAUUGAUCCUUGAGAAGGGGUCCUGAAUUUAUUUUUUGAAUUUUGGGUUUGCUUUAUUUGUUUUGAGACAAUUUAGUCCUAAAGAUCCUAUGCUUUUAUCGGAAAGCUUAUCAGUUUAGAAUUGGAUACAACAUUUUUGUGAUCUUUUAGGAGUUCUUUUUUUUGUGAACUCACUCAAUUCUUUGUAUAUCCCUUCUUUUUAGUAUAAGGUUCUUCGUUUCCUAAAAGAAAAUUAUUUUCUCAUUCUUCUUAUUAAAGGUAUUCAACUUUUUUGCCUUCGAUCUUUCUUUAGACUUUUUAUUUUUCACCUAUCAAAUUAUACUAGUUCUUCAUAACCAAAUUCCCUUGACUGCCACAUUAUACCAAUUCUGCAGUCCCUGUUAAUCAUCUUCUUCCUUCAGCUAGGUCGUGAAAUUUAUAUGCUACCUAGAAUUCUAGAGGUUUGUGAUGGUUUAAUUUGGAUGAUGAGCGAUCUUUCAUCAUCUUCAAUCAAUAGGGUUCUUGGAGUAAACCAUGAGGUCAUAUCUUCCCUCUUUCAAUCCUGCUUCAAGUAAUUAAGCUGCAUCUCCUAUUCCUUCCCCCACUCCCCACCAAAAAAAAAAAACACUUUGCUGGAUCUUGACAACCCUUCCUGAUACAUCACUUUCAUCAAUUUUAGUAUCAUAUCAAUGCAGGCUUACAGUAAUUAUUUGUGCCUGGCUAUAGUCUUUUGGCAUUAUCUUGCUUUUCUAUGACUUUUUGUUUAUUAAUCUUAGGCUAUGAGUCUGUCAUCCAGAAAACAUACUAAUGCAAGCCUUCGUUUAACUUUUGAAACAAUGUAUCCUAAAGAUAUUUGCUUAAGUUUGUAUUUGGAUACAAUUCUGACAUCCGACAUUAUCUUCACACACAGCUGGCUUUGCAGAACUGUUUGUCUUGGUUCCCAAUUUUUGAACUGAAUUACUUGGAGGCAACAUUUUUUUUUUCUUUUUUUUUUGGGUUAUUUCUUUCUGACAUAUUCUACGUUCUGAUACAUGAUUUAAUUUGUACUAGGGACUUAGUGGUCAGCCACUUUCAGGACCUGAUAUUGGUGGAUUUGCUGGAAAUGCAACACCUAGACUUUUUGGACGGUGGAUGGGUAUAGGCGCAAUGUUUCCUUUUUGCCGCGGGCACUCUGAAACCGACACUAUUGACCAUGAGCCUUGGUCUUUUGGGGAAGAGGUUUUGUUCUGCUCUAGUGUUUUUAUUAUAACCUUUUUUCUGUUUCAAAAUUGAAUGAGUGGAUUCUUUUAAGUACUACAGGUUACGGAGAAUGAAAUUGCUUUCCUAUUAUUGAUGACUGAAAAGGCCCAAUUAUAUGUUAAAAGGCUAAUUAUGACUGAAAGAACACUUUAGAAACAUUCCUUAUAUAUUGGGAAAACAAAUCAAUUGCCUCUCUUAAGCACAAUAAAAAGUUACAAAUCAUAUGAGAGCUUGUCGUAUGUAUGAAAAAAAUCUUGAACUGUCAGAUUUUAUGAAAUGUUCUAUUUCUGGGCAAUGGGGUAGACUGCAGCUGGGCAGCAAAAGUAUUUAAGCAGAAUGAUGCUGACUAACUAAAUGAAAACCGAUUUAAUCUGCUUUCUUUGCUUAUUAAGUACUGCCUUAAUUUAUUUAGAGCGUAGUUGAUCUUACUAAAGGGGGUUUCCUGUGAAUAUGCAUGCUUGAUCAAAGCACAUAAACUAAACAUUGAUUCGUUCUCGCUAAUUGUGGUGAGAACCCCGGUGUAAUACCUUGCAUAAACUUUAAGUUAUAUCUACUUCGUGUCCUCAUAAAGAAUGGUGUCAAGGUACAAUCAAGAGGUUGUUUGAUCGAACUAUAUGUUGUGUCCAUUGAGUUAGAUCUGAGGAGAUCUAUGGUAAAGCUGAUAGGUGAAGGACCCAACAAUAGAAUUUAACUUCUUACACACCUAUAAUGCAAGGCUUGUGAACUAAACACAAUAUAGAACAAAAUAAACAUUUUUGUUGAUGUGCUUUUGCAUGUCAACCAAAAGAAAAACAGCACGAACCUUAAUAACUGCAAAAAGCUUUUUUUAAUAACAAUGAGAGGAUUCGAACAAUAGAUUACCUGGUCAAAUUUAAACUGAUGGCUAAAAGCCAAUAAUUGCAUUUAACUUCUAUCAAUUGUUUUACAUUAAACAAGUGAGAUUUACUACCUACUCUAACAUUUACUUUAAUUUUUGUUUCUGGUGACAAUUGGUUGUGUUUCCUUUGGGUUUAUUUGAUGUUAACUUGAGUAUCUAAAAGUAAUGAGAGUUCUAUUUCUUAGUGUGAAGAAGUUUGUCGGCUGGCCUUGAAGAGGCGCUAUCGCUUUCUACCUCAUAUAUACACUCUAUUUUAUAUGGCUCAUACAACUGGCACUCUUGUGGCAAGUCCAACCUUUUUCGCUGGUAUGUCCUUGUGUGAGUGUAUUGGUUUUGUUCCUUGUGGAGCGUUAUGAAAAGUUUACCUUUUUAUACUGGCUUUAAAACAAAUGUAAAUUGCCUGUGCAGAUCCUGAAGAUCUCACCUUGAGGAAACUUGAAAAUUCAUUUCUAUUGGGUCCGGUUUUAGUUUGUGCAAGGUUCUUAUUCUCUUCCUUAGACAUGACAUACUUGAUGACAGUAGGAUAGUGUAUAUGCCUUAGUUUCCCAUUUUCAUCCUGGUUUUAUGCCUUAAUCUCCUUCUCAUCUACUUGACCAUGAUUAUCGAAUUUUACUUGUGAUUUGAUUUUCCUGCUGAUAGCAUGGUUAUCUUCAUUCUAAAUAUUAUAUCAAUGUUAACCAACCACUGGCCGACCCUGGUGUGAAUAUAACUCGAACUUAGUCCUGUUGUCCCACCCUGAGAGAUUUUACCAAUUAAACCAAAUAUUUGAAUUUAAUAAUUGUGCCCUUUGUUUGGUGCACAACGAUAUUUAGUUUUUUUAAAAUUGUUGAAAUAUUAACACCUUUCCAUACAAAAGAAUUCAAUCUCUCAAUAUAAUUGUGGGGGGAUGCUUUUGAAGAUAUAGCCUGGUCUCUCAUGUCUCACUUGUCAUAUCAAGUUAACUAUCCAAAGCAACAGAAUGCCAAUUGCACGAUUUUAGUGACAGAUUCUUUAUGCAACAAUGUUCAACAGCUUAUUUCCCUUUUCUGAGAAUUAUCCUUCUCUGAGAGAGUUACAUACUUAUCUUAUUCAAAAUCAUCAAAAUGAAAUAUUGUUUACUUUCGUGUAGUCAUUUCUGUUCUUGAUUUGAUGUCAUUGUUCUAAAACCACUUCUUUCUUUCUUUAUUGAAUAUAUCUUUCUAGUUUUUUAUCAAAGAAAAAGAUAGUGUAUCACCAAGAUAUUUUCUUUCGUGUACUGGGGAAAGUAAGAAAAUCAAAUAAGAAAAAAAUAAAUAGGAAAAUGUCACAUUAUUAUUUACUUUCUUGAUUUUGUUUUUGUGUGUUGAACCCUUUUAAAUUUGUUUGAACUGUUGGAUUCUCUUGAUGUCAUUCUUCUCAUGGAUUGUUAAGAGUGGGGUUAAGUUGGCGGACCUUGUAUUUUGCUUCUUGUCAUGCAUAUACUAACAUCCAUAUUUCUUCUUAAUUAGCACAUUGCCUGAUCAGAGGUCAGAUAAGUUGCAGCAUGCACUACCCAAGGGAAUUUGGCAAAGUUUUGAUUUUGAAGAUUCACAUCCGGUAUCUGUUCUUGGACAUUUAUCUGUAUCCAUUAAAGUCAUGUCUGUUUUCCCCUUUUUUAAAUGAAUUUUGAUGUUUUCCCCCUUUUGCUCUUUUUGUAAUAUACCAGGAUUUACCCUCUUUAUAUUUGCGAGGUGGAUCAAUUUUACCUUUAGGUCCUCCGCAUCAGAAUAUCGGUGAAUCUAAGCCAUCUGAUGACUUAACACUUCUGGUGGCUUUAGAUGAGAAUGGUAGUUUUGAUACAUUAAAUUUUUGUAGAACAACUUUAAAUUUGAAGCUAAUAAUUUCAUGAAAUGUUUAUCAUGCGAUGUAGUUCAUAUUCUAAAGCAUUCUAUUUGCCUGCUGAUUUUUCUGGUUUGAUUUUUUGCCUACAAGAUUGCAAUCCUAUGUGAUGGUUUAAGCUGCCUACAAUUUUUAUUACUAUAAUUUGAAGGUUUUGACUGGGAAAAUAGUAGGUUUGAUGCUUUUAAGUUAAUAAUUUCUUUAAACUGUUUGUCCCCAUGGCAAAAUAUUAAUGUAGAAUAACCAGAGAGAUAACACCUGAAACAUUGAUCUUGCCGGCAAUCAACCACCUCCAUGUCAUCACCAACAGCACCAGUGAUUUUUCUGGCAAUCAAACUGUUCUUUCAUUCAUCAGUCAUCUUCAGCCCACACCAUUACUUCCAUUGGUUAUACACAUGGUGUAAUGUUGCCGACCUAGAAUUGGUUCCUGGCUUUUGCCAGAUUCAGGUUCUUUUUCCAGUCUUUUGGGCUUUGAAAUCUUGGGCCAGUUUUUGUAGGCCUUUUUUGGUCAGGCGCACUUGUUUUUAAAUAUUUUGCCAUGGUUGAUUUUCUUGAAAUUGUUGAGUAACUUGCAUUUUGAUCCAUGUCUACAAAAUUCUGAUCAUAAAGUAAAAAUAUGACAAAAUUUUGUCAACUUGAUCAUGCUCAAGAUGAUAUUACUCCACUUUGUUUUCUUCUUUUUAGAGAUCUGUCCUACAUCAAUACGCUUUCAUGCGAGUUUGUGAAAUGACUAAAAGUUUGAUAGCCUUUCCAACUUUAUUGCAAUGCUAUUGAUCCUGCUUUCCUUUAGCUUCUGUAUAACUUGCUUAUUUUCUCUUAUUUUCUCUUACAGGCAAAGCAAAAGGUGUUUUAUUUGAAGAUGAUGGUGAUGGAUAUGGAUUCACUGAAGGUCAAUAUCUGCUGACAAACUAUGACGCUGAGCUUCAGAUGUCAGAGGUUACUAUUAGAGUUUCCAAAUCUGAAGGAUUAUGGAAAAGGCCAAAACGUCGUCUUAUUGUAAAAAUAUUACUUGGUGGAGGUGCAGCGGUUUGUCUUCUUUCGCUGAGAAACAUUCAUUAAAAUCCUACAUUAUGCUUUUGUUAUUUACCUUCUAGAGCAUCUGUUUAAAAGAUUUUGAGUAACUGAACUCUUGCAAAAACAGAUUGAUACAUGGGGAAUGGAUGGAGAGGAUUUGCAAAUUGCAAUGCCGUCAGAAGCUGAAGUGUCUAAUUUGGUAUCGGCGAGUAAGGAAAAGUACAAGAUUCGUAUGGGUAAUGCUGCUUCCUCAAGCCGUCUGACGCUCACUCAUUCAUUGGAAUUAUCCACAAAUUACUAAUUGUUGAUUUCUUUUUCAAUUUUCCAAAAAAUUACUUUGAGAGAUUUUAGUGUGCUUUUCCAUCCUCUUCAAUUAAGUAGAUUUACAUUGCAAAUUCAACUUUCAUGUUCGUGAACAUUCUGAUGUUCUUAUUGCAGUACUUUGUUCAGUCACAUAUCUUCAAUCAUAUUAUUUGAUUAGGUAUCUUUCUGGAAAUUGCAUUAUUAUUCACGCAAUUUUAUGGCUUCAUGUGUGUGAAACUAAACGUUGGGUUCUGAGUCAUGGUUUCUAAGCUUUUCCUGGGGAUUUCUUAUAGAUAGUUCCUUGUCUGUUCUUUACUGACGGAUGGUUUGAGUUGAGAGGUUAAAACUACAGGAAUUCUUACAUUUCAGAUUUUUUCAAUUUCUGCUUGUAGAGCAAUUUUUAUAAAUUGGAUAGUACUUGCAGAACUUAAUCACUAGGCCUCAACACCAUUUAUUUAUGAAAUUCUCUCAAAAUGUAAUUUUUUAAUGUUCAUGGCCAUAUUGCCCCAGUAAAUAUGCUUUUAAUUGCAGAAUUCAUUAUCUUGUUCCUGAUGUGCGAUUGUCAGAAGAAAAGAAAAUAGUUUGAAGAAAUCUUCUAUAAUUUGUUAAUUUCUAUAAAUUGUGUUGAGGACUUGAAAGUGCUAGGAAUUUGAUUGACUAAACUUUAAAAUCUUUACUAGUGUUCAUGUUGGUUCUAAUGAGGGUUUUUAUUUACAGAAAGUGCUAAGCUAAUUUCAGAUGCGGAAAAGGCUUCUGAACACAAGGGAGUAGAUCUUUCACAGACCCCUAUUGAACUGAAAAGCAGUGAUUGGGCUCUUAAAGUUGUGCCUUGGAUUGGGGGUAGAGUUAUUUCCAUGGCACACCUUCCUUCAGGUAAUUCAUUAUCAUUGUUUUCCUUUGAGUGGGAUGACAUCAGUGGUCUUUCUCCCUCUCUCUUUUGGUUAAAGUUGUACCUGUUGAGUUUAUUCUGGCUGUUGUAUCUCGAACAUAUGUGAGAUACUUCAUUGGGCACCAGGGGUCUUUCUCCCUCUCUCUUUUGGUUAAACCCCAAGACAAAUUGGGCAUUUUUUUAGUUUUUCCUUGGUGCAACUUUGAGUCUAACGGUCAUCUUACCUCCUUGAAGUCCUAAGUUGCCAUUUUUUACUGUAUUCUUUACACGUAUGAAGACACUGAUGUUAGAUUAUCAAAGGAGAAAAAAAUGAUGGAUCUCUAGAUACGUUUUCUUUACAAGUACUUUAAAGAGGCAUUUCACUAAAUUUGGAAUAAUUCAAAAACAAAGAUGGAAAAGAAUACUUGAAUUUGUUCCAGCAUAAACAUAUUUUGAAAAUUUGUUAGCUGUUUGCUGCUUGAAUGUCCUUAUCUGCCUUAUGCCCCAGGCUACAUGAGAUUUCUUAUUUGAAGAAUGUUAGAAUGUACUUUCAUUUCUAGUAUUAUCUUCUUGACUAUACACAUUCUUGUGCGAAAGUGAUACAUUGCAUGAAAGAGUGUUUUCAGUCAUGCACAAAGAAGAGUGUUUUUACAAGUAACAUGUGCAUGCAUAUGCGUGCGCGCAGGCAGAUAGAAAUUUUACAGUUCAGUGGAACCUGACCAAAUCAGUUAAUUAUUCAUUUGUAUUUCUAAUGUGUGAAACAUUAUGUUAACUGCUCAUCCUUUGACUCCAAAGUUAUUAUGUUGACAGGAACACAGUGGCUUCAUAGCAGGGUUGAGGUUAAUGGGUAUGAAGAGUAUUGUGGUACUGAAUACCGGUCUGCUGGAUGUACUGAAGAAUACAGUGUCGUAGAGUGAGUUUCCGAUUAAUAGGUUUAAAACGUCAUUUCUUUUUUCGAAGAAGCAUAAUUUAAAUAAUUAAGACUCGUAAUGAUAUAAUGCUUGCUGAAAUGGGACCUAUAAAGUCAAAGAGCCAAGCAUUUGAUUGAAUUGUUGACAAAUAGCAGUAGGAUGUGUUUGUUUUAUUUAAGAUGGAGUGUUAGAAAAUCAUGCUCUAUCUUUCUCUGCUACGCUAAAAUAUUAUCCACCUGAUAAUAAAUUUGUUGUGGCUGCUUGUCGUGCUCAAUGUUCCUUUUUCUGUUUGUGUUAUGCUUCUAUCACCUUUUCUUCUGUUGUAGGAGGAGUCUUCAGCAUGGAGGAGAAGAGGAAUCUCUCAUGUUAGAAGGUGAUAUUGGCGGUGGGUUGAUUCUGCAGAGGAAGUUAACUAUUCCCAAAGAUAAUCCAAAGAUCUUUAAGAUCGAUUCUAAAAUUCUAGCCGGCAGAGUUGGCGCUGGUUCUGGUGGCUUUUCAAGGUGUGUUUCAUUGUUAUCUUUUGUUUCUUUUCGACACUGCUACUUCUAACAGUGCUAAUUCUGUAUCAUUUGGGACUGUCUGUGGUUUAUCAUUUGAGAAGUACUAAUUCUGUAUCACUUUGAUAAUGGUCGAAGUCUUAAGUGAUGUAGGUCAGUACUCGAAAAAGAAAGCGAAAGGAGACAAUAGAAAGAAUAACAGUAAGUAGGGGGAAUGAAGUAAGAAAUAACUAGGAAGAAGAUGAAAAGAAAGAAUAUGAGAGAAACGUCUGUUUUCAUUAUGUCAAUCAAUCAUCCACCCCCCACAAUCUGGGUCAGCAGAUUUAGUGGGCAACUCCUGAGUCAACUAUUCUUAUAAUAAUAACAGCAGCUAUGUCAUGUAACUUCAUUCCCAAAAAAUGAAACACUUUAAAUGUGUACAUCUUUGCUAUGUACAAUUGCAGUCAUACUCUCAAGCCUUCAUCCGAUUUGUUGUGGGAAUACAAGAUUAGUAUACUUUUGGAGGUUUGAGAGUGAGAGUGACACUCCCUUAUUUACCACAUAAAAUUAGUAGAUAAACUGAAAUAUUAUUGUUACACAAAGGGAGGCUAAAAGGCUUCUAUAUUAAUAUUUUAAUAUGUGUAAUAUUAUUGUUUCUGGAAAUUCAAGUAUUCGAUUUUUCUCUUUAAAAAAAUUAAAGAGAAAUUGCCUCCUUGACUGCUUUUCGCAAUAUGAAAAGCUCGUCGCAACUUGUGUGCGUGUUAUGGUUUUCUUGUUUAUCUACACAAACUCUGCAACUUUUACGUUCUGCUGCAGGCUGGUUUGCCUGAGAGUGCACCCCAUGUUCACCCUUCUGCAUCCAACAAAAUCUUUUAUCUCAUUUACCUCCAUUGAUGGGUCGAAGCAAGAAAUUUGGCCAGAAUCUGGGGAGCAGUUUUAUGGAGGAAACCUUCUGCCUAAUGGUAGUACUUUAUACUUUCAAUCUUAUUUUGGUUUUAUGUCAAAAAGUGUGGCAUUGUCUACUCAGUCAAAAUGUAAAAGGACUAUUAAGAAAGGCAGUAUACCGAAGGCAUAUAAGGAUGAACACAAAAAUUUUGGUUUCCCUUUUAUUUUUUAUUUGUUUCUGCAAUUGUUCUUCCAACUGCUUCCCAAGUGAAUCAUUGUUUAAAAUUGUUUUCAGAGGUUAAAAAAAAGAUCUUUUGAAAUCAAAUGUGAUGCUGAUAGAUAUUUUCAAACUCAAGUUGUGACACUGUUUGCCUCACCAUUUAAAAGAAUUGACAAUAAAUUUGUUUUGUAUGUGAUUUUGAUUUCAGGCGAGUGGAUGCUUGUGGAUAAGUGCCAAGGUCUGGCACUUGUUAAUAGAUUUAAUGUCGAGGAAGUUUUCAAGUGUUUCAUCCACUGGGGAACAGGAACAGUCAAUUUGGAGCUCUGGUCUGAACAAAGGCCAGUUUCAAAGCAGUCACCUCUUGCGAUUUCCCAUGAAUACGAGGUGAUAAAAAUUCCAUAGGCACUCGUGCAAAAUUCUGCAAAAUAUUCCGAACGGUCAAAGGAGUGUUCUGAACUUGAACAAAGUAAGACUGAAUGUUUGGCUGGCAGAAUGUAAAUAUCAAUCAGCUGAGCCUAAUAAUAAUCGAUCUCCACGUUACUUGUUAGUGUCUUGUGCAACUCGAUAUAAUUUGGUGACUUGUUAAUGCCUGAAUAUCUUUCCAAGACUUCAACGAGCAUAGAUUUGUUUGUUUUAGAGGAAGCAACCAUUAGAUGGAAAGGUAAGCAGCACAAGCUUUGUUAGCUCGAGGAUGGUGAGUGUGGGGCUAAUGCAUAGGAUGGGAAUUGACAAGAGAAAAAACUAUGAAUUGAGAUGGCAUGGGAUAUAAUAAGCUCAUGAACAAUUAGGCGCAGAAUAAAUAUUUACAGGUGGUGGCAUACAUCUACCAAUUUUGAUGGCAUAGGAAUAAUAAGUCUCUUUCAAUAGAAAAAUAGCAAUUCAUAUGCUGCUUCAAAUUCAUGUUUAAACAGACUCGACUCUUAACAAACAUCAACGGACCACAAAGUUCAGUUACUCCACAAACAUUUACAAAUCCAACAAAUACCAUUCGUAUGCUCAAAAGGGUUUUAUUGUUACCAAUACUACAACCGUAGUAAAAUUCAUGUUACAUUUGAAUUCUGACUCUUUUCAUCAUUGGUUCAGUGACUGAUACCCCAAUGGAGCUGGAGAUUCCCUCAAUUGACGCCCUUGGUAAUGUAUGUCCUUAUUGUUAUAUUAUAUUAUAUCGAUAUUACAAUCAAAGUCCACCGAAGUAGAUUUGUACAAUUUAUAACAAGCUGGGAUCUAUCGAAUUUAAUUAACAAAUCUACUCUAAAUAAGAGUGAGAAUCUCCAUUUCUAUAAGAGUGUUUUACCACUAUAGUCUAUAGAUACGUAAUGUGUUUGCUUUAAACAUAGCAAUGUGAUGGCGAUGUGAUUCUAAUGUUAUAAUAACAUUUGUUUGUUGGAAGGAAACAAUGAUGUGAGGCUGUUGAAGCACGCAUGAUGAUGACGAUGAUAAUUGUAGUCUUUGAAAUAUUUUUACUUUACUAUAACUGGAUCAUUUUUUUCCCAUGAAAGUUCGGUUUUGCGACCAAGACUCUUUUUUCCCUAUUGCACUCAAAAUUUCUUUAAGAAAAACCACCUGGUGAAAAGCAAUAGAGUAGGAUUAGGGUUAAUUUUAUUAUGCUAUGCAAACUCUGUUACAAUGCAUUGUGUUUGUUGCAAGAAUUAAAACUUAAAAUUAUCCUAAUCUCUGUCUAAGCUUCAAUUUAAUUGAUGGAAGCUUAUAUUCGAUUAUGUUUCUUCAACAAUUUAGGGGAUAUAUUGAUGAGCUCAAAAGAAUUUGAGGAAUGCUUGGGGACUCAAUAUUUGAGUUUUAACUUGGGUUACAAUGUCAUGUUUCACUCAUGUAUUGCAUGAUAAAUAUAAAAUUAAUUAUUACUUUAUUUGAUCAUCUCAUAAAUGUGAUAUCACUUAUGUGUUGGAUGAUGAAUGUAAAAUUAAUUAUUACUUUACUUUACCAUCCCAUUAAUGAAUAUCACAUUAGUUGGGAUUCAAAUUAAGGUAGUGUUUUUUUUUUUUUCGUCUGAAAUCUGAAUGGGUUUGAAUUUGACUGGAUUCUGAAUAGGUCUGAAUAUAUAUAUAUAUCUAAAUGAUAUGUUUGUUUUUUCUUUUUUCAAUAUCUGAAUAUAAGUGUUAACUUGUUUGUUUUAUUGGAUAAACACAUGACAAGUUAUAAAUAAAUUAUUUGAUUAGUAAAAAAAAAAUUGAUAAUUUUUAUCUUAACAAAGCAUGAAAAGUAAAAUAUAUAUCAAAUACACAUACUUUUCUACAUUGACAUAUGAUACAUAUAAUGUUAUUUUUAGCAUUUUAUAAUGAUAUUUUUUCUUGUUAAUCAUAUAAGUCAAUCAAUAAUUGUUUAAUCAUUGGAAUUAAAAUUAAUGUAUUAAAUAAAAUUCAAAAUCUAUUAUAAAAAUAGUAAAUAUAAAAAUUGAGAAAUGGACCUAUUAUAAAAUACAUUCACCUAAAGUUCUCUUUGACAAAAAAAAAAAUUAGUAAUAGUUGAAUACAUGUACAAAAAAAGGAUAAAUAAAAAAUAAUAAAAGGAUAGUUUAUAUAAUAGAAAAUAAAUUUAUUUAAUAGGGUAUUAAUAAAAAAGAAUUUUAAAGUUCCAUUCACAUGUUUUGCCAUUCAGAUAAAAAUAAGAUUAUUUAACUUUUUCAUUCAAAUCUAAACAUAAUCAGAUAUAAAUGAUAAAAAACAAACAAAAUAAAAACCGUAAAUAUCUUAAAAAAAAUUAAGAUUCAAACUUCAGUUAAAAAAUAAAGAAACAUUAAAACUUAAAUAUUGAGACACCUAACAUUACUUAAAAGAAUUUAAAAUUUAAUGUACAUAACUCAAAAGAAUUUAGAAAGAUUACAGAUCCUAGUCAUGCUUGAAAAUGACUUGACAUUUUAUUAUCCUUUCUGUUUACUUAUUGCUAGGUCUAAUACCCAACAACAUCAUUGUCAUACUAAUGACUUACAAUAGUCCUUAAUUAUUAGUUUUUUCACUUGAUAUCUACCCAUGCUUUUGGGCUGUGUACUGACAAUUAACGCAAUAUAGUAAUAUGGCUAUGUAACGAUUAAUGCAAUUGAGUAAUAUGGGAUGCUGUGUAGGGUAAAAUCAUAAUUUAAAAUAAAUAAAACUAUAUUUCUUAGAAAUUUAACGAUUGGCACCAUGGUCUCAUACUAAUUUGUCGUCAUUGUUGCCAAUCUGCCCUCGUUGUUGUCGACGCCGAUUUUGCUCAAGGUUCCCGCCAAUUAUUUUCCAAGAAUAUAUGAGAAAAUGAAAUAUUUCUUUCUCUAUUUGACCUACGACAACAAAAUUAGAUCCAGUAAUUUGUGCACCGUACAGUAAAUACUUAAGGAUUUUUAUUUUUCAUCUAACGGCUGAGAUUUAUUGUCUCUAAUUUUUAUGGAUCGAACUUAGAUAUUAAUGCCUGUUAAAGGUUCAAAGUUGAAAAGAAGCACAAUAAUUGAGAUGUAAAAUGGGAUUAGAUUCUUAUUAAAUAAGGUUGAAUCUUAAUUUCAAAACUAUGUGGCUGAAUCUUAAUGUUUAAAACUAUGUAUUAUAACCACCUACACUUCCUUAGCUAAUUCGCAUACUUUCUUGCCUAAUUUUUAUGUUUUCUUUUGCUUCUUCAAUUCCUGUGCUUCAUUUUCUACAAAGAAAAAGUGUGCUUUGGAAGUUUUCGGCUAGCUAACCAAAUGAAAAAAAAAAAAAGUAAUGAAGAAUUCGAACAGGAAUUUUACUUGGACAAAUUAUUCACUAAUGAAAAAUUAGUUCUACAUUAUGUAAAUGGACAAAUUAUUCCCUAUUAAAAACUAGAUCUAUGUUGUUUAAGUCACCCGAGGCGAAUUUAUGGUGAUCUAAGAAGAAGCAAAUCAAAGAAGAACCCGCAAAGUUGGUUGGUGUGAGUGGUUCGGCACUCUCACUCCUUAAGAGAGGUCAGGGGUUCAAGCCCCACUCUCGUAUGGAGUCACCACUUUGGCCAGCACUUUACCCCUUAUGGGCCGACCCGGUGCGAGCGAGGAUUAGUCUGGGUUGUGGUACGGGCUUAAAGGUGCCUCCCACAGUUGGGGUCCACUCAGGACCACCUCGUGGUUCAAACCAAAAAAAAAAAAAAAAAGAACCCGCAAAGAGAACCAGAGGUGCUUGCAUGCAGAAGAACCAGCGAUGGGUAAAUAUUUGAGCAGGUAUUCCUUCGCUGCUUAACCAGUAUUCCUCUUGAAAAGUAUUAUACAUCCUUUCAAGUGCUUAUCUCUGUGUCCACAUUAGUGACAAGCUUGGUUAUGUUAUGUGAAUGAACUUUAGUUUUGUAAGAGGAGAAAUCAUGGUCAGCCAAUCCUUCUACGUAUGGCCUACUUAAAUCCAUAUAGCCUGCACAAUACAAGAGAAAUCAAUACUAUUUUAAUGUCUUGUACUGCCAAUGCACACACUCGACCUUCCCCGGCCAAUGCAUCCAACUUUCCAGCUCCUCCGAAUCCUUUGCUUCUUUCUCCAGAAACAAAAAGCGUGCCGUGGAAGCUCAAAUGGGGGAAUUCAAGCGCGAAUUCCAUAUGGAAAAAAACUCUAAACCUUGCCGCAUGGAGAAAAAAUAACGCUAAUGGCAGCCACCAAACUGAAUAAAUUUGGCAAACAAACCCAAAAGUGUUGCGCUUUCAGUGUCUUAGCCGAUCAUUGAAUUCGACAUUAUUUUGCACUAGUCAUCACAAACUUCGAGCAUAACAAACAAUUACAUUGUAUAAUUUUCGGGGCCUUGAUUGAAUAAAACUAAAAGAUAAUCUUUUACAAUCACAUCUCUAGAACAUAACUGAUUUUAUUGCAAAAAUGCUUCUCUCCAGCAGGACCUAAAUAUCCAGUAUACAAAAAAUUAAAACAGUUAUAGCAUAAUAAAAUGGCAAAUUUUGAGUAUUUUCAUUUAGAGAUACAGUAAAAUCUCUCUAUAAUUAUAAUGUUGGAACCAAACUAAUUUUAUUAAUGAUGAGUUUAUAACUUAAUAGAAGUGCAGUUAUAGAAAUUAUUGUUCCGACUUAAUUAUUCUUAGUGUACAUGAUGUAAAAAUAAAAUAUACAUAAAGUUAAAUAAUUAAUUAAUAGAGCAUAUUCUUUCUUCCAAAAAAAAUUAAUAGAGCAUACCAAAUCUAAUUUAUAAGCAUUAAUUGAAAGAGAUAAACAUAAUUUCAAAAAACUAGCAAUUUGUUUUUUUGGUAGUCUACAAAUAUUUAUUAAUGCGUGGAUUAAGUUACUUAAGAUGAGAUAUAGAAAAUGAUAACUAAUUAUAAUAUAAACUUUAUUCUUACUUAUAACUUACCCAAAUAUAAACAAAAAAAAAAAAAUUACGCCUAAAUGAUAGUUAUUCCUUUGAUAGCAAAUCAAUCCUUUUUUUUUAUUUUUUUGGUUUGACUAACUAGGAACGAUUUGCUGUUGGGCUUAUAUCUACAUAAUAUUAAAAAUAUUACAGUAAACUUGUUCAGGUUAGUUUUUUUUUUUGUAGUGUCUAGAAAUAGUCGACUCUAAUUUACUAAGAACUUAUUGCCGUUGAAAUGACGUCAUAAGUACAACUUAGAGUCUAUAUUGACGACCUGGUUUAUAAGUACGAAAUGAGGUUUACAUGAAUGACUUGGUCUAAAAAUACAACAUUAAGCCUAUAUGAGCGACCCAUAAAUUCACUAGUCCAAUCUGGAAGUAAAGUAAUCCGAUCUCAAAAUUUAUUUGUCUGACCCAAGAAUUAGCUUGACAUGGAAAAUUAUUGCUCAAGAUAACGUGGCCUAAUUUCUAGGGAAGUUGUGUGCCAUGAUUUAUUUAAACCACCUCUAACUGACAACUACUUGCAACUGCUGAAGAAAGUAUACUUAAACUAAGGAGGUAAAGCUGAAGAGGGCAUCAGAGGAAGGGGUUAGCAAAAUUAACAAAAAAGCUCAACAAGUGACUAAUCUUCAAGCCACUCUAUUUUUUAGGAGAUUCACACCACCACCACCCAAGAAUUCCUUGAUUCUAUCUCACCUCCAAUUCCUCUUUUUCAUUUUCCAUUUUCUUAUAUACAAAACAUCUGACUUAAGUAUAGGAGAAUUUUUGAUGGACCCAUAGGCAUAUUUGACUUUAUUUUGUGGUUGGCAGGCAUAGGAAAUUGCGGUCGUAUUGUAGCUUGAGUUUAGAUUCGUGUUGUUAUUCCCAAGAAAACAAAUUUAGCUGUUGAGUCGUUUUUCAGCAUCAACAUCUUGACACCAUAUGUGGCGAACGGUGCGAGAAGCCAUACGUUUGAAGAUUUAGUAGGGAACACCAUAGUAUUAGGAAAUGGCGAUGAAUGAUGAUGAUGGAGAUAGGCAAACCUUGCACUAAUUGGUAGACGAAAUAAAUGCCACUGCGGACAAGAGAUGGAAAAAAGGGAUCGAAAGGCAAAUGGCAAGAUUUGAGGAGAUAAUUAAAGGGCUAGUUGAUGCCCAAGUCAGAGGGACUCAAGUUCGAACUAGUGAUCUAGAAAGUAGCAGAGCACGGGAGAGAGAGGAGCUUAGUGGUGAACAACAGAGUGAAAUAGGCUUACCUCAAAUUAAGGUAUGAUAGAAGAACACAAGUGCCAGAGAACAAGUGAAUGAGUUGCGGGGGAGAAUCAAUGACUUGAAUCAUGAAAGGGAGAGGGAAGAGCUAAGAAACCCCCAAUGGGCAAAUGAGCUUGAGCAACAAAUGCUGCAAUUUCAAAAAAACUCUAGAGGCAUUAGAGGCGAAAACAGAGGGUAAAAAAGUGAUAGGAAGAUUGUUACUUGACGACGAAUCCCUCCCUAAUACCAGAGGUGAUGACGGUAACUUUGUCAUCUAAGUAGGUAGUUCUAGCCUUGGUGCAUAAAGAAAAAAUUGACCCAAAUCAUCAUGUGGAGAGGUUUAAUGAGAUGAUCGGGAUUCAAGGUUUGAAUGAUUUUCAAAGGUGCCAUGUUUUUCUCCUAAUUCUAGAAGGACAUGCACAUGAAUGGUACCAGAGACUAAUAUAUAUAUAUAUAUAUAUAUAUAUAUAUACACACACACACACACACACACACACCAAAAUAAUGGAAAGAAAAUACAAAAGAUGAUUUUAUUACAACAAGCGAGAAUACAAGAUUUCACCCAAAGACUCUUACUACAACUUAAGACUCCAAGACUCGAUGAUCCAACACACAACUAGGGAGUCCCUUUUAUAGGCUCCAAGAGAAUCUCCUUUUACUAUCUAUAUCAUUAUAUCUUAUCCUUAAAAAAUCUACUUUAUGACUCAUCACUACUUUAUAUUACAUAACUCACUUCAUCCUUAUCUCUAAAGAAUCUACUUUACAACUCAUUACAUAUGACACCACACAAUUAUUACUUAUUUAUUGGUUAUUAUUCACCAUUGCUUCCGCUGGUAGGGUCUACUUCGCUUCCACUCAGCUAGUGCUGCUUUCCUCUGUAGACCACGCGCGGUGCAAACGUUCUUCUUCCCACGGGGCGAGUUACUGCUCUAUGAGCUAGUUUUCAUCUAUUAUCUCACAGUUGAGGGUGUGAGAGGACUGUGGGUGUUGUAUAAUGGUUAUGUGUUGUUAACUUCUCCUAGUGCUCUUCUUGCGUGUAAGCAUUCAUUCCACAUUUUAUAAUGUUCAUCCACAGUAUGAUCAUGAUCUACAACUCUGGGUAGAGGUGGCUUGUCUCGUUCCCAAAUAUCUCUUAACUUUACUAUGAUUGUAGUAGUUUGAGAUAUUUGAUAGCCAUUGAUUGGCUUCAGUGUAAGGAGAUUUUCAUAGAUUGGAGCAAAAAGUCUAUCAAAUCACCUUCCAUAGUUGUAUCGUCGACUCCUGCGAAUGACAUGAGGCUGAAAUAGAAUAGACAUGGGAUACAUGUUGAGGAGUAACUAAAAGGAGUAAUAUGCUUGCGGCAUAGCAUCACAAAUCACAUAAUGUUCCUCAAUUGGUGUCUUUGUCACUCACAUGAUGGAAAUAUAGAUGGGGUUGGAAGACAAACUGGAGCAUUUGGUCUAUGUUUGGAUGAGGAUUGAACAGCAUGUAGGGCAACAACUUUUCUCCAACUUUUCUUGCUGGUUUAAAUUCAAGGUUAUCUAUUAAGUGAAAAAAAAAAGACCUCACGGUAUUUUAAAUUUCGUUAAAAAAAAUUUACUGGUAAGUGCCCAAUAAAUUUUCAAACAUGUCAGGUGAUUCGAUUCCUCGCCAACCAAAUCAUCCGAACACUAUCCCGCGCUUGUUCUAUUUGAUUGAAGUUCUCCAGAAUCAGAAAACUGACACGCCACUUUUCCUGUUCAUCACCAAUUAGAUUUUGGACUCCAUCACUGCACUAUGGUAGUGUUUACUUUUUGGAGUGGGAGUGUGGAGUGUGGAUUCCUCCCACUCCAGUAUUUACUUACCUUAAAACAGGGAGGAGUGGGAGUGGGAAUUGUGGGUCCCACUCAAUUUUGAAGUGGGGAGUGGGAUUCCCACUCCCAUGGGGGGAGGUGGGAGUGGGAAUCCACUCCCCCCUCUUCCCAUUUUAUCCUUAUAAAAAUAAAUAAAUAAAUAAUAUUUAAUAAAAUAAAUAAAUAAUAUUUAAUAAAAUAAAUAAUAUCAUAUUUAAUAAAAUAAAUAAUAUCAUAUUUAUUAAAAAUAAUAAUUAUAUCAUAUUUAUUUUAUUAAAUUUAAUAAAAUAAAAAUAAAUAAAUAUUAUAUUUAAAUUAAUAAUAUUAAACAUUAAUUUUAAUAAAUAUUAAUUAUUUAUUUAAUUAAUAAUAAUAAAUAUUUUAUUCUAAAAAAAUAUUAAUUUUGUACUAUAUUAUCAAUAAUAAUAUUUCAUUUGUGUUGCUAUUAUUAAUAAUUUUUAUUCACAUAAUUUAAAUUUAAAUUAAUAAAAAAAAUUAUGAUUUACAUAAUUAAGAAUAUUAGUAAUUAUUAUUAAUUUAUAAAUAUAAUAAAAUAUUUAUUUUAUUUUCUAAAUAUAUUUUUUAUUAAUUUUUUAAUUACAAAUUAUAAUUCUGUACAUAAAGAUAAAAUUAUAAUUUAAAAUAAUUUACUCCCAAUCCAAGAUAAAAUAAACAAAUAAUUAGAAUUUUGAUUGACAAUCUAUCUUUUCAUUUAGUUUAAGUAAACACCCUACUCCCACUCAUACUCCACACUCCUAAUCUAAAGAUUCCCACUACUCAGAAUUCUCACUCCAAUAAAAAAAGUAAAUGUGCGUGCAAUUUCCGCGUCCGGUGAAUCGCUCGAUACCUCCUGGGCCUAUUAAAUUCAACUUUUAUGCUACUAAUUACUUAAAUAAUUAAAUUAUAUUAAAAACUAAAAAGGACCGACAAAUCAAAAUGAUAGAGAAUCACCAACCUGCUGCAGUAGUGCUAGAGUCACUGGCGCGCCUGUUGGAAUUACAACAACAACAGUGAACCAUGAGUCUACUGCUUCUUCGUCUUCUUCUUCCAAUUCCAAAUUGAACAAAUUUGAUCGUCGAAGCCUCUUCGCCUUAACCUCCUCAGACACAAAAGCAACAUCUCAUCUCUUUUGCUCCAUCAGAUUACUAAUCAGUUCGUUCAUUCAUUUGAUUGAUUUCCAUCUUCGAAUAUUAUUUAAAAUUUUUCAUACGCAGAAAGUGAUCGGCAUCUAGAAUCGGAAUGGCGGCGGAGGCGAUCGCCUCGUCGGACGUGGUUUCGGGUGACAUGAUUUUUGAACCGGUUUUAGAGGAAGGAGUUUUCCGGUUCGAUUGUUCGGCGAGUGAUCGUCAAGCAGCGUAUCCGAGUCUCUCGUUUGUGAAUGGAAAGGAUAGGGACACGCCAAUCUCGACUCACAUGCGCCCUUUAUACACUCCAACUUAUCAAUGUGUCCGCGGUCAACAGAUAGUCAAACUUGAGGUUCACUCUCUGCGUACAUUGCCCUUUCUUAAUUUCUUUAGUAAUGCAUGUCUUUUUUUUUUUUUUUUUUCCAAGCUAGAUUAAUCUGAUGGCUUUUUGUUCUGAUUGUAGUUUCCUGCUGGUACCUCGUUGUAUGGAACUGGGGAAGUUAGUGGUCAGCUAGAGCGGACGGGAAAGAGAGUGAGUUCCUGUUUAUUUAUUUUUGGAUAUGACGUGCAGGGAGCCUUUACUUGUUCAACUACAAUGUGGUGAACUUUUUUCCUGUAGAUUUUUACAUGGAACACGGUUUCGGGGGGCUAUGGUACUGGAACAACGUCCUUGUAUCAGUCACAUCCUUGGGUGCUUGCCGUUCUUCCGAAUGGAGAGGCAUUGGGGGUUCUUGCUGACACAACACGUCGAUGUGAGGUGUGGCUUUCUUGUGAACUUUGAAAGUCAUGAUGUCUUGCUUUUGAGUUGUGUUUUGGUCCAUUGUGUGCUUGUUUUGUGUUUGGAAUCUCAUUAAUUAAAGGGCAAAUAUCAUUAACUCCUAGACUCCUGGCUAAAAUCAAGCAGCUUUAAGGUCUUUUUCUCUGUCUUCACAUGUGGCCAUGUUGGACUAAAGCGAAUAUACUUCAGAUUUCUCUCAAAACUAGCCUAUAGUGACUCUCAUAUUUGCUCCUAAUUUCCAAAGCUUACUUUUGUUCUUUCUGCUGUAUUUUAUUUCUUAGAUUGAUUAAUUGGUUUUUUCAGCAUUCUAUUGUUUGUCAGUUGAGGAAAUUGAUGGAUUGUAAUGAGGAAUUAAAUGAGAAACAUGCAAACAGUGUGGAGCAGCUUGAUUUCAGACUAAACCUUCAGGAGCUUGAUUGUAUUUUCCCUUUAAUUAAGUAGGCCCCAAAAUGAGAGAGGGAUGGGGGGUUGGGGUGGGGUUGUUGGAGGACAAAUUGCUAUUGUUGAGUAAAAAGUUAACCUAUUAUGAACUUUUGUGGUAACCCACAUGGAUCUAUCCUAACAGUCCUCUGUAUUUAUUCUCCUGCAGAUUGAUCUGAGGAAAGAAUCAACAAUACAGUUCAUUGCUCCAUCCUCAUAUCCUGUUAUUACAUUUGGCCCUUUCACUUCUCCUACUGAUGCUCUGGUUUCUCUUUCUCAUACAGUUGGUAAUCUCCUGGACCAAGCUUUCUCUUCUUCAAGUGCUCCAUGUCCUUGUCAAGUUUUUAUGAUGCCAAGAUAUCUUCCUCUGUCACAGUUCGCUCUUUCAUGAUUUUCAUGUUGAGUCAGGAAACAUAAUACAUAUAAUAUGUUCCUUUGUUUUUUGUGGUUUAAAGGGUAUCUAUUUUUCUUUUAACUCUUCCUUGAGUGAUGCAUGAGUUGAAUUCUGUGUUUCGUUGAGGUAUUUAGAUAUAGAUAUUUUGUUCUCAAAGCUUCUCUGCUAAUACAAUAAUAAGAGUAAUCCUAAUAAAAUAAAAGCAAUCCUUCUUGAAUCAAGCUUAAUGGACAGAGUGAUUAAAAGUGUGUUUCGUAUCAUUUUAAAAAACAGUUCUCAAACCUACUUAUGAAAAUGACAGUUGAUGUUCUUCAAAUGAUGUUUACCUGAUCAAAGAAUGCUUUUGGUAGUGACUGCUAUAAUUUUUU
Molecule: long non-coding RNA, 23457 nt
Filed under: Citrus maxima (pomelo)
Lineage: Eukaryota; Viridiplantae; Streptophyta; Magnoliopsida; Sapindales; Rutaceae
Description: long non-coding RNA (CMAX_LNC001439)
Source: RNAcentral